Humulus lupulus (European hop) is the source of this 1120-nucleotide long non-coding RNA. RefSeq lists it as uncharacterized. Lineage: Eukaryota; Viridiplantae; Streptophyta; Magnoliopsida; Rosales; Cannabaceae. The record is from RefSeq and is a predicted model, not a curated record. The transcript has 3 exons.
CCAAUUUGUACUAAUGCUGAGAAAUUUAAUAAUGAGAUUGGAUUCAAUAUUCGGAAUCAUGGUACAUUUCAUUAUAAAGAGUGGAGAAUGGUCCCUGAAGAUGUGAGAGCUCCAUUGCGACACUAUCUUUUGGAACAUUUUGACAUCAACUUGAAUGAUGAGACAACUAAAAAAUGCAUUGAUGAGCAAAUGAGAAAAGCUUGGAAGGGUCAUAAGUACAAGCUGCACUUAUAUUUCAAAUAAAUUGGAGGAGAAAAUGAUCUUGAGAUGGCCAAGAGCAAACGUCAUCCAGACUUAAAAGAAGAACAUCAAGAAGAUUGGAUGAUUUUGUGUGAUCGUUGGUGUUCUUCUGAAUUUAAGGAAAGAGCAUUAAAGAAUACUACCAAUCGAUCAAAGAGGAAAUGGGAGUCAAAAAAUGGUUCAGUCUCCACACCACGACAUCACAUUCGACGUGGAAUGGUGUUAACUUCUCCUACCGGUCAAAUUGAGACAUGGCGUCUAAAGCAUUAUGAUGCUGAGAAAGGAUGGACUGGAAUAGAGCUCGAGCCAUUAUAUGUAAGUAAUUUAAAUUUUUAUUUAUUAUAUUUCUUACUAAUAAUUAAUUAAAUAUAUUAUUAGGAUAAAAUGAUGGAGUUAAGGGGUCAACAUCCUCCAGAAGAACUGUCUGAUAAAGAGAUUAUGGAGUGUGUACUUGAACGUGAUUCGGUAUACUUGCGAGGGUGGGGGCGGUCACCUAGUGUCACAACUUCUACUUCACAUCGUGAAAAUAUUGUGGGUAACCAACCAACUUAUGAAGAGUUAGUUGAACGACUUAAUGAUACAACUUCCCGCCUUAAUGCUACUAAUGAACAACUUAGUGUGGUUGUGGAUAUACUUCGUCAUAACAAUUUGAUGGCACCGCCUCCACCACCUCCAACAGACCAAGCUACAAAUGCAAAUUUAAGAGAGUCGCCAUCUUUUUCAGUUCGGGAGUCACAAGAUGAUUCUUAGUUUAUUUACAUUAAUUUACUAAGGAAUGAACUUUAUGAAGUUUUUUUUAUUUUGGUAGGGGUAACCUUAAAAUGAUAACUUUAUGACUUAUUUUAGUAUUGAACAUUAUAAAGAAUUUUAGCAUUAAACA